GACGAACGCUGGCGGCGUGCCUAAUACAUGCAAGUCGACCUUAGUGGCGAACGGGUGAGUAACACGUGGGUAACCUGCCCAUCAGAAGGGGAUAACACUUGGAAACAGGUGCUAAUACCGAAUACUGCUGGAUGGACCCGCGGUCCAUUAGCUAGUUGGUGAGGUAACGGCUCACCAAGGCCACGAUGCCGAGCCGACCGGAUAGGGUGAGCUGCAAAAGUGGGCCUGAGACACGGCCCAAACUCCUACGGGAGGCAGCAGUAGGGAAUAUUCGGCAAUGGACGAAAGUCUGACCGAGCAACGCCGCGUGAGUGAAGAAGGUUUUCGGAUCGUAAAACUCUGUUGUUAGAGAAGCGGUAUCUAACCAGAAAGCCACGGCUAACUACGUGCCAGCCGCCGCGGUAAUAC
RNAcentral lists this ribosomal RNA (408 nucleotides) under uncultured bacterium. Its description in RNAcentral is "partial 16S ribosomal RNA". It matches the Rfam family "Bacterial small subunit ribosomal RNA", at positions 28 to 526 of the family's 1533-position model. The record is from RNAcentral.